UUUUAUUACCGAAGACCUAACAAGAAUCUCUGAAAACAGAUGGCCCUUGGUGGCAUAGUCCAAGGAGAUGUUUAUUUUUAUUUUUAUGGUUUUGAUACAGCUAACUGCAUCAUCUAAAUGCACAGUUGCUCAGAAAGAUCUCGGAAGAGGUUGACAGAAAGAUGGUCCUGGAAAUUAAACCGGGUAAGCUGGUCCAACCCAAAUGAGCUUGACCCGACAGAAUUGGAGCAACAAGAGGAACAUGGGUGGGCUCCACCAGUUGCAGGCAGUGAGGUCCUCCAUCUUCACUGUUGAAUGCAGAUAAAACAGGUCUUUGCUUUGUAAGGCCUCCACCGUGCAGAAAUGGCAGAGAACUCUUUGUCAUUGCUCCCCUCCUCCUCCUGACCCUUUCUCUCUCCUCUUUAUAAAGUGAGAGCAUGAGCUGCCCUUUCCUCAAGCAUGCCUUGGAUUAUUCUUUCUUUUUCAGUUUUUUAACUGUCAUCAAUGGCUCAUAACAUAAAGUUAAUGCAGAAAAGCUACACAGAUAUUU
Non-coding RNA from Prunus mume (Japanese apricot), 529 nucleotides. NCBI's taxonomy places the organism in Eukaryota, Viridiplantae, Streptophyta, Magnoliopsida, Rosales, Rosaceae. The record is from RefSeq and is a predicted model, not a curated record.